CCGGGCCCUGGAGGCCCGCCACGCCGAUCUCGUUCGCCUCCUACGCUCGGUGCGUUCCCGGCCAGAGGGGAACCUAGCGGCCGCGACAGCGACGCCCUGCCCCGAGAGGCCCGGCUGCGCCGGCUACUGCGACAGGGAGGCCCGACUCCCCGGGCGGUGGGGAGGGCGGGGGUCUCUAAGAUGGCCUCCUGCGGUCUGGAAUGACUUGCUCGGUGGUGGUGCGGCUGGGCAGAAAUGAUUCGAGUAAAGGCAGCUUCCUCGUUGUGGGGCGGUUUUUUGGUCUUGUUUUGUUUUGUUUCUUGCCGAUAGGUUGGUUUCGCCUUCUCUUUCGGAGGGGAUUGCUCAAGUGUGAAGAACAUUACAGCAGACAGGCGGUUCAGGAAAGGCCUAAAACGGCCAUGUCAUUUUGAACAGAAUGACAUAACUUCUGCCAAAGGUUCAAAAUAGCCAGAAGAAAACCAAAGGAAUCACUGAAGUAGCAGUCAGUAAAAAAUUACUGUGCGGGCCCCAGAAAGUUUGCGGACCGGGAGCAUUCAAACCAAAACAUGGAAUGAGGCUCAGGGUGCUUACCAGUCAUAUCAACUUCGGGAAGCAGUUCAAGUUUUGCUUGUCAUUUCCGGAGACACGAGCAAGAAACGACCAGGUCCAGUUAGCCUUGCAGGAUAAGCCACAUUAAGCUUCGCCAGCAUGACCAAACUGCUUCUGUCUGCUCAGGGACACUUCAAGGGUGGUGUUUCUUGCACUGGCCUUUUCAGCUGGCCACACAGGCCAUUCCAUUGCUCUAUUUCCUGUGGUAGAAGAGCCGAGGCUUUCGAACACGUUGGAUCAUUCCACAGCAAGAAAGAGAGUGUAUAUUACGGCCCAGCACCUACUUACACCGAUAAAACCAUAAGCUUCUCGGCCUCUCUCUCCAUCCGGUCUCCUGGUUUGUGAGAUGAGACUUUCGGCCCCGGGAAUCUCUGGGAUACCUUCCAUGGCCAGCCCUCUACGAUUCUAACAGCGAAGGACGUUUCAUCUGCCGGAAUAGUCUCUCCCCCACCCCUCCUGUAUUUUAGGGUCCCUGUGAAACGGUGCACGCCGUAUCUCUCAAGCUCACUGCCUAGAAAGGGGGCCCAGUCAGCCCAGCGUGCGUGAGACGCUGGAAGGAGCCGGGGCGCAUCUCGGCGUGGGGCAGGGGCACUCCGAGGCCAGAAGGGGUGAUGCAGGUGCAAGAGGAGGGCCAGUUCGCCCCUCCUUCGGGGUUCAGGACGGGUCGGUGCACACGGGAGACGAGCAGGACGGUGCCCCCCGGGCUUCUCGGGGGCGAGACGAGAGCCAGCGUGCUCCCCGUGCUGCCACGGGACGGACACCGGCUCCGCGCGGGUUUGCGGUUCGUGUCAAGCAGGCACAGGGAACUGCGUCCUUGCUCACGAUGGGCUGCACGGCAGGCUGCCCCCAAACAGGCCACUUUGGCCUAUUGACUGUUUUGAACUUAGUUGCAUGAGAAGCAGCGGGCGCAAGGACUCUCUGACCUCCUUUGUGCCCUGGAAGGAAGCAGGACCGAAGUGUCCCCCGUGAAGGUCCCCGUCCUGUCCCGGGAGGAAGGGAGACAGCCUUCUUGCCAGCGAUGGGCACGUCAAGGCCGAGAAGGCUGUGUAAGCAAACCGGCUACUUCUUCGCUGCUUCGCUACCCCAAGCCCCAGCUUCUGUCAGUUCUUCACAGAUUCAUGGUUUCUUUGUCUGAAAGGUGUAAAAGCUGCUAGCUUGGCUCACUUCUUGGAGUCUCCUAUUUCUAUGGGCUCCCAUACGUACACAAUUAAAUUUGUUUUUCUCCUGUUAA
Long non-coding RNA from Mirounga angustirostris (Northern elephant seal), 1819 nucleotides. RefSeq lists it as uncharacterized. Lineage: Eukaryota; Metazoa; Chordata; Mammalia; Carnivora; Phocidae. The transcript has 4 exons. The record is from RefSeq and is a predicted model, not a curated record.